This 74-nucleotide transfer RNA is filed under the name Vitis vinifera (wine grape). RNAcentral's name for it is "transfer RNA-Phe". The stretch from base 5 to 68 matches the Rfam family "tRNA", at positions 5 to 66 of the family's 71-position model. Rfam says of the family: Transfer RNA (tRNA) molecules are approximately 80 nucleotides in length. Their secondary structure includes four short double-helical elements and three loops (D, anti-codon, and T loops). Further hydrogen bonds mediate the characteristic L-shaped molecular structure. tRNAs have two regions of fundamental functional importance: the anti-codon, which is responsible for specific mRNA codon recognition, and the 3' end, to which the tRNAs corresponding amino acid is attached (by aminoacyl-tRNA synthetases). tRNAs cope with the degeneracy of the genetic code in two manners: having more than one tRNA (with a specific anti-codon) for a particular amino acid; and 'wobble' base-pairing, i.e. permitting non-standard base-pairing at the 3rd anti-codon position. The record is from RNAcentral. Lineage: Eukaryota; Viridiplantae; Streptophyta; Magnoliopsida; Vitales; Vitaceae.
AGUCCCAUAGCCUAGUUGGUCAAGCACAAGGUUGAAAACCUUGUGGUUGUGGGUUCGAGACCCACUGGUGGCUU